Molecule: small nuclear RNA, 170 nt
Organism: Choloepus hoffmanni (Hoffmann's two-fingered sloth)
Lineage: Eukaryota; Metazoa; Chordata; Mammalia; Pilosa; Megalonychidae
Gene: U1
Rfam family: U1 spliceosomal RNA
About the family: U1 is a small nuclear RNA (snRNA) component of the spliceosome (involved in pre-mRNA splicing). Its 5' end forms complementary base pairs with the 5' splice junction, thus defining the 5' donor site of an intron.
Source: Ensembl
ACACUCACCUGGCAGGGGAAAUACCAUGAUCAUGAAGGUGGUUUUCCCAGGGUGAGGCGAGGCUGAUCCAUUGCAUUCCGGGGCCUGUUGACCCCUGCGAUUUCCCCACAUGCGGGAAACUCGACUGCAUAAUUUGUGUUGGUGGUGGGUUGCGUGCAUGCUUUCCCCUG